Molecule: long non-coding RNA, 1332 nt
Organism: Marmota flaviventris (yellow-bellied marmot)
Lineage: Eukaryota; Metazoa; Chordata; Mammalia; Rodentia; Sciuridae
Source: RefSeq, a predicted model, not a curated record
GCUCUGGUACUCAGGUCCACCACCCAGAGGCCACCUUUGCCCCAGAUUCCAGUAGUCCUGCUACCUUCCACCCACCACUCGUAUGUGGUCUUCUGUCAGUCUCCCUCCAGGACUCCCUCAGGGCUGGGGACCAGGUGUGUCACCAGCCAGAUGCACAGAAAUCCUGGGCCCAACAGAGCUCAGCACAGGAAACAGGCCUCGCUGAAGGACUGCACAGCUAUUUUCCUAGCAGCCUCAGAGUUGGUACCUGGGAAGCCUCUAGACUCAUCCAGAUUUUCGGCUACCAUUUCAAAAGUGAAGUCCACAAAGGGUUGACAAGUGUGCAAUCUGGAAGGUGGGCCUGCAGGCUGGAAAUUCAGAGAUGGACCUGGAUGCUCUCACACCACACCAAACCCAGCGCUGGGACAGACAGUACACAGAUGUCUUGGUCACAGGUCCCACCUCUAAGAGCUCACAGCAUUGGACACAGAUGGCCACAAUCUGGCAUGUUCAUAGCAGAGGAGGCAAGCACUAAGGAGGGAGCUGCUGCCUGGGGGAUCAGGAAGGCUUCCUGGAGGAGGAGACCAACAGGCCCAGGGUGCAGUGAGCAGGAGAACAUUCCCUCAGAAUUCCUGAGAGUUUUCCCGCAGACCCAAAUUCAUGGGUCCAGAGUCAGCCUUCUCUUCCAGAUGACUCACUGAGAAGGAGCUUGUACCACCUGUGAAGGGACAAAGAAUAAAUAUCUGCUGGGAGAUCUGUCAGCUUGCUGGGGACUUUCACGCCACCCACUCAGUAAACCCUUCCAGCCAUCAUGAGUGGAGCCAUGUCAUCACCUCCAUUGUUGCAGAGGAGGACUGGAAAGCUGCCUAUGCAAGGUGACCCAGCCAGUCAGAGGACAAGCUUGGACUCGAGCCUGGCUCCUUAUGACAGAGAUGGCUUCACCCAUCUUUGGUAGGUCCCCAGCCUCCGUCUCCUUCAAUGAUCAGCGUUAUGGAGCCCUCUGUGCCAGGCACGCUGCUAAGGGCAGGUUGUCUUAUUUCUCUUCACGCUCAAGGUGGAGGUGCAAUGAAAGUAUUAUACUGAUGAGCUCCCAGGGCUCAGAGAGGUUGUCACCCGCCCCAGGUCACACAGCCCUGCAGGAGUGAAGCUGAGCCCUGCAACCUGUCCUACUGGUUCCAGAGCUCUGCUCCUGCCCACCUACACGGUCCACCUCUCUUCUUGACCUCACUUAGCCUCCUCUGAACAACAUCCUUGGGGUGAACAUUAAGAAGCCUCUUGUACCAAUUCAACACCAAAUCCCAUCACUAAUUACAACUAUAAUGCACCAAAAAUAAUAUGAAAAAAAAAAAAGAA